This is a non-coding RNA of Microdochium nivale, 95 nucleotides long. NCBI's taxonomy places the organism in Eukaryota, Fungi, Ascomycota, Sordariomycetes, Xylariales, Microdochiaceae. The record is from the annotation of a GenBank genome assembly.
UCCUCCGUGGCGCAAUUGGCUAGCGCGUCUGACUGUUAUCGAGACUCAAGUCUGGUGCUAUCAGGAGGUUGACAGUUCAAGCCUGUCCGGGGGAG